UAACGUCAUCCCCUGUCACUAGCCGUUAGAGCCCAGGUAAGGUUCUUCGCGUUGCGUCGAAUUAAACCACAUGCUCCACCGCUUGUGCGGACCCCCGCCAAUUCCUUUGAGUUUCAAUCUUGCGAUCGUACUUCCCAGGUGGAUCACUUAAUGCUUUUGCUCAGACACCGACAGUGUAUCGCUGAUGUCGAGUGAUCAUCGUUUAGGGCGUGGACUAC
RNAcentral lists this unclassified non-coding RNA (218 nucleotides) under uncultured Chitinophagaceae bacterium. RNAcentral's name for it is "contains 16S-23S intergenic spacer region". Lineage: Bacteria; Pseudomonadati; Bacteroidota; Chitinophagia; Chitinophagales; Chitinophagaceae. The record is from RNAcentral.